CAUCACUAACAGCCAAGGCAACCUCAUGCACACAGCUCCUUGGCCCACGUUAGAUGCUAUGAGGAAGGAUGUCAACUACUGUCAUCAGGGGAAGAUACCGAGUCCUGGAUUUGGAUCAUGGCAGAUGACAAAAGAAAAAGCCAAUGGACUCUGGGAGCAGAUCCUGACUUGAAAUUUGAUCAACCCUGUUGCUGCGAGCAUGUGUCCAUUCACCUCUCCUGAGCAGAGACCACCAGUCAAACUAAACGGUGAGAUGCCUUGUGAUGGUGGGGGGAAGCCAACAAGGGCCUAGCUUAAGAUCAGAAAGCUUAUUCUGCUUGGGACUGUGGCUCAACUUUAACCCAAGUCUUCAGAGGGGACAAGAUGUGCACAAAUCAAAUGAGUCCUUUAGAGCUUUAACCAAAUGACAAAGAUCAGCAGAAGGAAAUUGGCUUUAGCUGCUGGAACAGAUCAAGCACUGCAAACACCACUCAGGAGAAGGAGAAGCCCCAGCAUUUGGAGGGUUUCCUGUGUCCUUUUUUGGACCAGUAUUCCCUAGCUGCUGGGAAUCUGGUGUAGUGAUGCCUGGGACCAUUCUGCUGGCUUCUCCCCUUGACUCUCCAUAUGCUGCAUCUCCAGGAACUGCAAGCACAAUCAUAGGUUGUCCUCCCAGGCAGCCUGAUCUCUCUACUCCCAUCAAGUGUCAAUUGGCUGAGCCCUGGGAAGAGAGCACCUCAAUGGAGCAGAGGGUCCUUCUGGCCUUUGCUUUAUGCCUAGAGAGCGGGGUGUCAGGGGUUCCCAGGAGAGAAGAAGACAGUGCUACAAGCACCUCCAUAUAGAAUCCAUUUAGCUUAAGGGAGAAACACAGUGACCAAAGAACAACAUGACCAAAAGCUCCUAGCUCAGCCUUCCUUUAGACAUCUUAACCCACACCAUACGCAAGCAGAUGUUACAGUGUGGACAUCCAGAAGAGUUAAGAUAAAUCUAGUCUUCCGAAAGCUUCUCAAACAAAAAGAAAAACACUUACCUGCGGCCCAGCUUCAACCUUCACCAGCAAUUAGCAAAAUGAAAAUACCUGAUUUGGUGAUGGAGAUACACUCCUUCUCCCAUCUUUUGUCCAAUGUUUAUUUAAAACAAAAAGCUGCCAUCUUGAUGCGUCAACUAGAAAAACAGUAUGUGAGCUCUUCCUGCUGAGCCACAAUGAGCGCUAGAAACCUACACAUUCCUGCCACAAUCGUGCUGGUUUCUGCUUGGGUAGAAAUACAAGAAAGUGGAAGGCAGAGGGGGAAGAGAAGAAGGGGGAAAAUCAAACCAAAUCGGCUAAAUAAGAGAAUCAAAAAAAUCAGUGGAGAAGGUGAUAAUCGUCAUUUCCAUUCUCCAUGGAUCUAGAUUGUCAAAGGUGCCCUGGGUAGCCCCACUUACUACUCUACACCCAUGAUCACACCAGCAAGACUUAGCCAACAAAACCACCAUGAAUGACCGAGACCUCUUGGAAUUGGAGCAACUGGAAAUGGCAUCCAUCCUCCCAGCCUCAGCAUCUAAAGUGAGGCAUUACACAGGUGAACAUUGCUCAUAAACAGCAGCAACUGCAACACCCCUGUCUGACAAGGAGGCUGGAGCAGUGCUGAGGAGCUGCAUUCCUGAAGGGGAGUCUCACCCCAUCCUUUGUAGCUGGAAGGAAGGUCACCCCUGGUGGGAGGUGAAGAUGAGGAUCUCCACAGGAUA
Mauremys mutica (yellowpond turtle) is the source of this 1704-nucleotide long non-coding RNA. RefSeq lists it as uncharacterized. The record is from RefSeq and is a predicted model, not a curated record. Lineage: Eukaryota; Metazoa; Chordata; Testudines; Geoemydidae. The transcript has 3 exons.